UAUUAAUAUACAUUGUAAUACUGACAGGCUCUAAUUUAUAACACCCUGGCUGGCUCGAGUAUUCUCCUGACUUGAGAGGUGUUUUCUGCAUUUCUUCCUCUGCAGUUAAACGGUACAAAUAGAGGGGUGGAGCAGAAAGAAAAGCAAGGAAAAAAAUCUGCUCAGACAGAGAGACAAAACAAGCAACUGCUUAAGGGAUUUGGCAGUAAAUGGAAUUGCCCCCUUCCCCCUCCCCGCUUGAAGCCUGGUUCAGCAUGUACUGGUGGUGGAUCACAG
Long non-coding RNA from Gallus gallus (chicken), 276 nucleotides. NCBI's taxonomy places the organism in Eukaryota, Metazoa, Chordata, Aves, Galliformes, Phasianidae. The record is from Ensembl.